CCAGCCAUAGCUCAGUUGGUAGAGCGGAGGACUGUAGAGUUAACGCAGCUAUCCUUAGGUCGCUGGUUCGAAUCCGGCUGGCUGGA
Molecule: non-coding RNA, 86 nt
Organism: Ascaris lumbricoides (common roundworm)
Lineage: Eukaryota; Metazoa; Nematoda; Chromadorea; Rhabditida; Ascarididae
Source: Rfam